ACCUCAGUAACGGCGAGUGAAGCGGUAACAGCUCAAAUUUGAAAUCUGGGUCUUUCAGGCUCCGAGUUGUAAUUUGUAGAAGAUGCUUCGGGUGCGGCUCCGGUCUAAGUUCCUUGGAACAGGACGUCAUAGAGGGUGAGAAUCCCGUAUGUGAUCGGUUGCUUGCGCCCAUGUGAAGCUCUUUCGACGAGUCGAGUUGUUUGGGAAUGCAGCUCCAAAUGGGUGGUAUAUUUCAUCUAAAGCUAAAUAUUGGCCAGAGACCGAUAGCGCACAAGUAGAGUGAUCGAAAGAUGAAAAGCACUUUGGAAAGAGAGUUAAACAGUACGUGAAAUUGUUGAAAGGGAAGCGCUUGCAACCAGACUUGCGUGUCGUCGAUCAUCCGGGGUUCUCCCCGGUGCACUCGGCUUCACUCAGGCCAGCAUCGGUUUCGGUGGUUGGAUAAAGGCCUUGGGAAUGUAGCUCCUCUCGGGGAGUGUUAUAGCCCUCGGUGCAAUGCAGCCUACCGGGACCGAGGACCGCGCUUCGGCUAGGAUGCUGGCGUAAUGGUUGUAAGCGACCCGUCUUGAAACACGGACCAAGGAGUCUAACAUCUAUGCGAGUGUUUGGGUGUCAAACCCAUACGCGUAAUGAAAGUGAACGGAGGUGAGAACCCUUAAGGGUGCAUCAUCGACCGAUCCUGAUGUCUUCGGAUGGAUUUGAGUAAGAGCAUAGCUGUUGGGACCCGAAAGAUGGUGAACUAUGCCUGAAUAGGGUGAAGCCAGAGGAAACUCUGGUGGAGGCUCGCAGCGGUUCUGACGUGCAAAUCGAUCGUCAAAUUUGGGUAUAGGGCGAAA
RNAcentral lists this ribosomal RNA (833 nucleotides) under Neofabraea kienholzii. Its description in RNAcentral is "eukaryotic LSU rRNA". It matches the Rfam family "Eukaryotic large subunit ribosomal RNA", at positions 77 to 928 of the family's 3401-position model. The record is from RNAcentral. Lineage: Eukaryota; Fungi; Ascomycota; Leotiomycetes; Helotiales; Dermateaceae.